UAACUUAGUGGCGGACGGGUGAGUAACGCGUGGGGAACCUGCCUUGCACCGGGGGAUAACACUUGGAAAUAGGUGCUAAUACCGCAUAAGCGCACAGAGCCGCAUGGCUCGGUGUGAAAAACUCCGGUGGUGCAAGAUGGACCCGCGUCUGAUUAGCUGGUUGGCGGGGUAACGGCCCACCAAGGCGACGAUCAGUAGCCGGCCUGAGAGGGUGAACGGCCACAUUGGGACUGAGACACGGCCCAAACUCCUACGGAAGGCAGCAG
RNAcentral lists this ribosomal RNA (266 nucleotides) under uncultured bacterium. RNAcentral's name for it is "partial 16S ribosomal RNA". It matches the Rfam family "Bacterial small subunit ribosomal RNA", at positions 88 to 354 of the family's 1533-position model. The record is from RNAcentral.